RNAcentral lists this ribosomal RNA (253 nucleotides) under uncultured bacterium. Its description in RNAcentral is "partial 16S ribosomal RNA". It matches the Rfam family "Bacterial small subunit ribosomal RNA", at positions 524 to 776 of the family's 1533-position model. The record is from RNAcentral.
UACGAAGGGGGCUAGCGUUGUUCGGAUUUACUGGGCGUAAAGCGCACGUAGGCGGAUCGUUAAGUCGGGGGUGAAAGCCCAGGGCUCAACCCUGGAAUUGCCUUCGAUACUGUUUGGCUAGAGACCGGAAGAGGUAAGUGGAACUGCGAGUGUAGAGGUGAAAUUCGUAGAUAUUCGCAAGAACACCAGUGGCGAAGGCGGCUUACUGGUCCGGUUCUGACGCUGAGGCGCGAAAGCGUGGGGAGCAAACAGG